Molecule: non-coding RNA, 571 nt
Organism: Phascolarctos cinereus (koala)
Lineage: Eukaryota; Metazoa; Chordata; Mammalia; Diprotodontia; Phascolarctidae
Source: RefSeq, a predicted model, not a curated record
UGAAGAUCACACACAUUUCUCCUACAACAAGAAAACUAUGAAAUGAACCAGGACGGUGACAAGAUACAGGGAAAGGAGAGAAAAGAAAAUGGAGGCAUAAGAACAAUAGGAAGAAGACUGAGCUUCUGGGUGAGGUCAGCCAGGAGGAAUAUGAAGCUAGCUGGAGGAAAUGGCCACGUUGCUGGGUGAAUGCCAAGAAGUUCUAGCGCCAAGCUGAGAGCUGCAGAAACUACAAUGACUGACUUCAGGAGGUGCAGGACCAUGCUGAGAAGACACUGACACAGAUGAAGAGUGUCUGAGUAAUGGCGAAUGUAUGGAUGUCGGAGCAAGUGAACAUGCAAAGCCCAAAGGGAGUCAGGCCGUGAAUACUGAAAAGAAGAAGAUCCAGUGUGGUCUCUAGGAAAGGAGGACAUCUCCCUUUUGUGGCUGACCUGAGUUACUGUAUUAAUAACAUAACCCUCCUGCUGCAUGGACUAACACCAUUGUAGGAAUAAUCACAGAUGGACAACUAUUGGCUGCCCCACCUUUUUGUUUGAAUCUUUAUCUUUACAGUAGAGUCUCACUUUUUAUG